CAACAAGCACGUCCGGUGAACAGGUCAGGGUUCCAUAGCCGCAGGCAGAACAGUUGAAACUGGAGCAGCAGCACGGCCAGUGGCCUGGCUGCUUUGGGCUGGGCUGUGAGGUGGUCUCUGGGUGCUGGUCUAGGCAGAGAGGCAGAGCCUGCAGUGGUGGAGUGGCUGUGGGUGUUGAGGUGGUGCCCGUGCCUGUCCAUGCCCGGGGUCCGGAGUAGAUAGCAGCUAAAAUGUUUUGCUCUGCCCUCCCAACAGACGCUGGUUGGAGGGAGCUUCAGCAAUGGACUCAGGAACAGCAAGCGUUUAAUGCCACAGCGGUGGUCCGUCACAUGAGGCGUCUCUAGCUGGGACCAUGUCAGGAGGUGCCGAGCCAGACCACCCUGCUCAGCCACUGCAGAAGUGGCUCCCAGCCAGACCACCCUGCCUAGCCCCUGUAGAAGCCAUCUGCUGCUGCCUGAGGGGGAACACACAGAGUCUCCCGUUGAGGGUGGCUACUCCCAGAGUGCGAACCAGCGGGGCAGAACGAGACUCCCUGGCCAACUGUACCUACCGCUGCCAUCCAACCAGCUGCAUCUGAUCCCCCGGCCACCUGUAGUGUGGCCAACCAAUGACUUUCCCACUUUCCAGUCUGGCCCCGAACACAGAGUUGUUGUUCCAGCGCCCCUUCACCAGAUGGGGCAGGGAUGUUAAGAACCCAGGGUGGGGAGGAGGGAAGAGGGGAUUCUAUGAUGCCAUUGCCAACAGAGGAGGUCACUUGACCUAGAUUGGGGUGAGAGUGGAGGAUGAACUGAGAGAGGAGAAGAGAAGGAGGCAAGCUUAAGGAGAGGUGUUGUACCCAGUGUAUUCCUGGGUGUUAUUAGUUUGGGAGUGGGACAGAGCUUGGACAGUGUUUUUACUCAUGCUUUUUAAAAGUGUAUGUCUGCUUUUUUUCAUCUCUGUAUUUCUGUACAUGCUGUUUUUUUCAUUGUCGUUAUCCUUCCCCCUUGACAACGUAUAGAGGAUUGAUCCACUGAUGCUACUUGCAUGAUCAGAGAACAGGCAGACAGGUCCCAAUGCAUGUUGACUGACAACAGGUGUUUUUAUAACAUAAGGAGUCUACUGCAGAACUAUGUGUAUGCGGUACCACCCAUUGUGGAAUAGUUUCUGUACAGCAGAUAUUGUAGCUAAUAGCUCACAAGAGAUGGACUUACAUGCAAAGCCAUUCCUCAAAAAACUAAGAAUAGGUGUCUGUUAACCUACAGAGGUCUCGGUUAACCCACAGUUUUACUCCCUGAUGUUUAAACCACAUUCUAACCUGAAAGUGCAAUAUUAUCCCGUUGAUAAAGACACUUUUGGGGGAGAGUUUCAGCCUGCCUUUCAACUGGUCAAAACUUAAUCCAUUUAAGUUAUUAAGAACAUGGAAGAUGUAAUGAGCUCAGCCCUCUUGCUUAAGGGCAGGGAAUAGAUGUGUGUGAAUACAAAGCCAAAUGUGGAUAUGUUUUUCACUGUGUACAUGCAACCAAUUAACAUUCCCUUUUGGAUCACCCUUCCAUGGGUCUUUUCUUAAUUCAUUUUGGGGUUGUUUUUUCAAGCAAUUUUAUGUGUACAGAGAGAACUUGAAUUAAUGAAAGUAAAUAAUAAUCCAUCAUUACAUCUGUCACUCUCGCUCUCACCAUGAGGUCACGUUAAAUUGUUGAUACCUUUAAUAACCUAUUGCACAUACAAAAGUGACAUUUUUUGUUAUUCACUUAAGACCACUCCAUUUGUUUUUGCACCACCCUAUUUUCCAAAUACUCUGUUUAAAUGUCC
Molecule: long non-coding RNA, 1788 nt
Filed under: Salmo salar (Atlantic salmon)
Lineage: Eukaryota; Metazoa; Chordata; Actinopteri; Salmoniformes; Salmonidae
Description: lncRNA (ENSSSAG00000042907.2, ENSSSAG00075034995.1)
Source: RNAcentral